This 305-nucleotide ribosomal RNA is filed under the name uncultured bacterium. RNAcentral describes it as "bacterial SSU rRNA". It matches the Rfam family "Bacterial small subunit ribosomal RNA", at positions 335 to 638 of the family's 1533-position model. The record is from RNAcentral.
UCUCCUACGGGGGGCAGCAGUGAGGAAUAUUGGUCAAUGGGCGAGAGCCUGAACCAGCCAAGUCGCGUGAAGGAUGAAGGAUCUAUGGUUUGUAAACUUCUUUUAUAUGGGAAUAAAGAGAGGAACGUGUUCCUUUUUGUAUGUACCAUAUGAAUAAGCAUCGGCUAACUCCGUGCCAGCAGCCGCGGUAAUACGGAGGAUGCGAGCGUUAUCCGGAUUUAUUGGGUUUAAAGGGUGCGUAGGCGGGCUGUUAAGUCAGCGGUCAAAUGUCGGGGCUCAACCCCGGCCUGCCGUUGAAACUGGCG